GGAAGGCUUCCUGGAGAAGUAGAGCCUCAAGCUAGGCCUUAAAGGAUGGGGAGGACUUUGACGAGAAGAGGAGUGAGGCAGGCAGUGGGGAGUGUGAGUAACUUUUGCCAGCCCCUACCUGCUCCCCUAUGCAGCCCAGCUGGUGUAGUGGGUAUGUUCAAGGGAGUGAUAACUAAUAGCUGACUUUUGGCCCCUGAUUGUAAUGGCAAAUCUCAUUCACAUGCAUUAACUCCCUUG
This 237-nucleotide long non-coding RNA is filed under the name Homo sapiens (human). RNAcentral's name for it is "HSALNT0020380". The record is from RNAcentral. Lineage: Eukaryota; Metazoa; Chordata; Mammalia; Primates; Hominidae.